This 375-nucleotide ribosomal RNA is filed under the name uncultured bacterium. RNAcentral's name for it is "bacterial SSU rRNA". It matches the Rfam family "Bacterial small subunit ribosomal RNA", at positions 29 to 387 of the family's 1533-position model. The record is from RNAcentral.
AACGAACGCUGGCGGCGUGGAUAAGACAUGCAAGUCGAACGGGAUUAUUUUUGUAGCAAUACAGAAAUAAUUCAGUGGCGAACGGGUGCGUAACACGUGGGCAAUCUGCCGAAAAGUGGGGGAUAGCUCGCCGAAAGGACGAAUUAAUACCGCAUGUGGUGAGGGACGACAUCUUCCUGAAUCCAAAGCCGGGGCAACCUGGCGCUUUUUGUAGGAGCCCGCGGCCUAUCAGCUUGUUGGCGGGGUAACGGCCCACCAAGGCUAUGACGGGUAGCUGGUCUGAGAGGACGACCAGUCACACUGGAACUGAGACACGGUCCAGACACCUACGGGUGGCAGCAGUCGAGAAUUUUUCUCAAUGGGGGCAACCCUGAA